GGGCCCCGAGCUCCGCGCACAGCUUGCUGGGAGUUGUAGGACGAGGCGUCUUCCUCGUCCGAGAGGCUUCGGACGUGACAACAGGGGACGUUUCUGCUCGGCCGGUGGGAUCCCGCGAGUUCCCCUCUGGGCCUCCCCAGCUUAUUUCAGUUCAGGAAUCCGUCAGGCCUAGCCACGGGCUACGAGAGCUUCGUUUCCCGGGACUAAGGGCUCUGAGGCCCUGGUUCCGGGGACCCGUCUGGUGGACUGUUGAACCGAGGGCUGGCCGUUGGGGGAGCUCGGCUCGCGGUUUGCCGGGGCUGGAGAAGCCCUUGUUUCCCUUCGGGGCCAGGGGCGCGGAAGACCUGAGGGCUUAAGGAUUUGUCACCCAGAAUUCUACAGUUCUGUGUACCAGAAACGGAGCACGUGUGUCCCGCCGUUUUGGUCAUGGGGGAGGGCCUGUGACUGGUCACAGUGGGAGUGGAGGAUGUCAUAGAGGGAUGAACCCUUUGUGGGCUCACAAACGGAUCGGGCAGAUGAACGCGUCAGGCAGCCUGGACAGUUUUUUUGUCUCCUCCUCCAAGUACCCUUACCAGGAGUCUCCUGAUUCGGCCCUGUGGGGGCUUUGCCACACCUGGGAUCUGGGACCGAUAACUCUACAAUUUCCAGAAAUGGCUUCUUUGGUUAUUUGUAUUUAAUGAACAUGUCAGCUUGCAAGAUUAAUCAUGGAAAUUUUGAUUUAGAAGAGACCCUUUGUCUGGAGUACAUUUGCCCCCAGAUAUCUUCUUGGCUUGUUUCCUAUCAGAAUGGAUUUUUUUCUUUUCCCGUCUUUUGGAAGAGCUGUUCAAAAUGGUCUAGCGCAGCUAUGCCCUGUCUAAGCAUGCCACUUUUACAGAAGCGCAGAGGCUCGCCCUGCUCCUUCAAAUCUGCUUGGGAAGUUGCUUCUGCGUCCCGGUGCUGCGUCGUCGCGGAGCC
RNAcentral lists this long non-coding RNA (954 nucleotides) under Zalophus californianus (California sea lion). RNAcentral describes it as "lncRNA (ENSZCAG00015001778.1)". Lineage: Eukaryota; Metazoa; Chordata; Mammalia; Carnivora; Otariidae. The record is from RNAcentral.